RNAcentral lists this unclassified non-coding RNA (373 nucleotides) under Commiphora leptophloeos. Its description in RNAcentral is "partial external transcribed spacer". Lineage: Eukaryota; Viridiplantae; Streptophyta; Magnoliopsida; Sapindales; Burseraceae. The record is from RNAcentral.
UUCGGUUUCCUGUGUUGCUUACCUAUCGAAAGGAACCCGACGGUCUCGUUCGUCCCCCUCCGCCCCCGGCCCUCGCGGGUUGUGGGGUGGACGUCAGGCACGCACCGUGUUCCCGGCAAGCCUCGCCGAGUCGCUUGGCCGCCUCGGCCCACGGUGUGCUAUGCCCGUUCUCUCGGAUGCUGAACGUUAUGCGCGGGCGUGGGGUCUGUCACAGACUCCGUCUGCCCGAGCAACGCAUUUUGUCCCUCGACGCGAACGACCGUCGUGCCCGUCUUGAGCCCGCGGCCUCACGGCCCGUCGGGCGUCAUGCGGGCGUCGGCGUCGCGAAGGAACGCUACCUGGUUGAUCCUGCCAGUAGUCAUAUGCUUGUCUC